CCUACGGGAGACAGCAGUGAGGAAUAUUGGUCAAUGGACGAGAGUCUGAACCAGCCAAGUAGCGUGAAGGAUGACUGCCCUAUGGGUUGUAAACUUCUUUUAUGAAGGAAUAAAACGAGGCACGUGUGCCUUUUUGCAGGUACUUUAUGAAUAAGGAUCGGCUAACUCCGUGCCAGCAGCCGCGGUAAUACGGAGGAUCCGAGCGUUAUCCGGAUUUAGUGGGUUUAAAGGGAGCGUAGGCGGGUUGUUAAGUCAGUUGUGAAAGUGUGCGGCUCAACCGUAAAAUUGCAAUUGUAACUGGCAGUCUUGAGUACAGUUGAGGUAGGCGGAAUUCGUGGUGUAGCGGUGAAAUGCUUAGAUAUCACGAAGAACCCCGAUUGCGAAGGCAGCUUACUAAACUGUUACUGACAUUGAUGCUCGAAAGUGCGGGUAUCAAACAGGAUUAGAUACCCGAGUAGUC
Molecule: ribosomal RNA, 460 nt
Filed under: uncultured bacterium
Lineage: Bacteria
Description: partial 16S ribosomal RNA
Rfam family: Bacterial small subunit ribosomal RNA
Source: RNAcentral